Oncorhynchus tshawytscha (Chinook salmon) is the source of this 1201-nucleotide long non-coding RNA. RefSeq lists it as uncharacterized. The record is from RefSeq and is a predicted model, not a curated record. NCBI's taxonomy places the organism in Eukaryota, Metazoa, Chordata, Actinopteri, Salmoniformes, Salmonidae. The transcript is spliced from 2 exons.
UUUUUUUUGGGGGGGAUUUCAUUCCUAGUUAAUUCAACCCUAAAUGAAUAAAGAUUGCUGCUAAUUUGGUUUCACUAGAUUGUUUUGAUAUCAUCUUCAGACGCUGCUUAAUAGCCUCCGACUCAAUGUUUGUCUGCUUCUUUCUCAACAUUCGGAUGGGUUGCAUCUGCCUCAGCGUCCUCAGGUAGAACAAUGUGUUGGUUUCUUCCUCAACAUUCGGAUGGGUUGCAUCUGCCUCAGCGUCCUCAGGUAGAACAAUGUGUUGGUUUCUUCCUCAACAUUCGGAUGGGUUGCAUCUGCCUCAGCGUGCUCAGGUAGAACAAUGUGUUGGUUUCUUCCUCAACAUUCGGAUGGGUUGCAUCUGCCUCAGCGUGCUCAGGUAGAACAAUGUGUUGGUUUCUUCCUCAACAUUCAGAUGGGUUGCAUCUGCCUCAGCGUGCUCAGGUAGAACAAUGUGUUGGUUUCUUCCUCAACAUUCAGAUGGGUUGCAUCUGCCUCAGCGACUCAGGUAGAACAAUGUGUUGGUUUCUUCCUCAACAUUCGGAUGGGUUGUAUCUGUCUCAGCGGCUCAGGUAGAACAAUGUGUUGGUUUCUUCCUCAACAUUCAGAUGGGUUGUAUCUGCCUCAGCGUGCUCAGGUAGAACAAUGUGUUGGUUUAUUCCUCAACAUUCGGAUGGGUUGCAUCUGCCUCAGCGUGCUCAGGUAGAACAAUGUGUUGGUUUCUUCCUCAACAUUCGGAUGGGUUGUAUCUGUCUCAGCGGCUCAGGUAGAACAAUGUGUUGGUUUCUUCCUCAACAUUCAGAUGGGUUGCAUCUGCCUCAGCGUCCUCAGGUAGAACAAUGUGUUGGUUUCUUCCUCAACAUUCAGAUGGGUUGCAUCUGCCUCAGCGUGCUCAGGUAGAACAAUGUGUUGGUUUCUUCCUCAACAUUCAGAUGGGUUGCAUCUGCCUCAGCGUGCUCAGGUAGAACAAUGUGUUGGUUUCUUCCUCAACAUUCAGAUGGGUUGCAUCUGCCUCAGCGUGCUCAGGUAGAACAAUGUGUUGGUUUCUUCCUCAACAUUCAGAUGGGUUGCAUCUGCCUCAGCGUGCUCAGGUAGAACAAUGUGUUGGCUUCUUCCCACGUGUCUGUUUCAUAUCAAAAUCGUAAGCUUGUUGAUCUAGUUUUGAAUAAAGAAUGUUUGAAUAAAGAAUAAAUAAAUUCUG